Molecule: non-coding RNA, 4796 nt
Organism: Anolis sagrei ordinatus
Lineage: Eukaryota; Metazoa; Chordata; Lepidosauria; Squamata; Anolidae
Source: RefSeq, a predicted model, not a curated record
UCGGAGUAAGGGAGAAAAGUUGGUUGCCAAAGAUUUCACAGACUUAAGUCCACCCCCCACCCCGCAAACCCCUUCCCCUAGGAAGGGACCUGAAGCUGGUGGCAUAAGGUUUUCUAGGUUCCUUUCUAUUUGCAAACAAUCUCAGGAAGAGAAAUAACUUGGUGGCAUAAGCAUUCCUAAACUUACUGAACUUAAAUCCCAAAAUUCUGGUGGCAUAAACUUUCCUAGAUAUAAAUUUACUUCCAAAAAAUAUCUGAGGACUGAAAAGCAGUUGAUGGCAUAAAUUUCCUUAGGUUUAAAUAAAAAAACAGAUGAGGAAAAGAACAGAUUUGGUGGCGUAAGCUUCCGUAGACUUAAAUCCAAAAAAAAAUUGAGGAAGAGAGCCGAGUUGAUAUCAUAACACUUUCCUAGGCUAACAUCUAUUUCUUUAAAAAAUUGCAGUAAAGAAGUUGGUGGCAAAAGCUGUCAGACUUAAAUCCACUUCUAAAAAAUCUGAAGAAGAGACUGAAUUUGGUGGCGUAAGCUUUCAUAGAUUUAAACUGGCAUCCAAUAUCUGAAGAAAAAAAUUAAGUUGGUGGCAAAAGCUUUCCUAGACUUUAAUCCAAAAAAAUCUGAGGAAGAGAACAAAGUGGGUCACUUUCCUAGACUUAAGUCCACUUCCACAAAAUCUGAGGAAGAUAAAAUUAGUGGCAAGUGUUCCUAGAUUUAAACCUACUUCCAAACAUUUAUAAGGGAAAGAAGGUGGUGGCACUUUUCCUUCAUCACUCUAGAGGAAAAAAAUCCACUUAAAAUCCAGUUUCUGCCUCCUGCAGAAUUCUGGGGUUUGAAAUUUAUGGAGGAGCCAUUAACAGCCUCACUAAACUACAAACCCCAGAAUUCUGCAGGAGGCAGAAACCUGGUUUUAAGUGGAUUUUUUCUCUAGUGUGAUGAAAUGUAGACUAGUCAACUUCCAAAAAAAAAAAAAAAGGCUGAUGACAUAAACUUUUCGUAGACAUAAAUUUACUUCCAAAAAAAAAUAAUCCAAGGAAUGGAAAGCAGUUGGUGGCAUAAAUUUUGCUAGGUUUAAAUCCAAAAGAAUUGAGGAAGAGAAAGGAGUUGGUGUCAUAGGAUUUCCUAGCCUUAAAUCUAUUUCUUUUUUUAAAAAAUCAUGGGAAAGGAGUUGGUGGCAAAAGCAGUCAGAGACUUAAAUCCACUUGUAAAAAAAAUCUGAAGAAGAGAAUAAUUUUGAUGAUGUAAGCUUUCAUUUACGUACAUUGACUUCCGAUAUUUGAGGAAGAAAAUUAAGUUGGUGGCAUAAGCUUUCUUAGACUGAACUCCACUUCCAAAAAUAUGAGGAGAGGAAAGAAGAUGGUGGUGUAACCUCUCCUAGACUUAAAAACCCUAAGAAGAGGAUGAAGAGGUAGGAUAAGUUUUCCUAGACUUAAAUCCAUUUCAAAAAAAAUCUGAGAAAGAGAAUAAAGUUGGUAGCGUAAGCUAUCCAAGACAUAAAUCCAAGGAAGGGAAUGAAAUUGGGAGCGUACAUGGCUGAGCUGCUGAAGUUGCUGACCAAAAGGUUGGCAGUUCGAAUCCGGGAAGGGGGGUGAGCUCCCACUGUUAGACCCAGUUUCUGCCAACCUAGCAGUCCGAAAACAUGCAAAUGUGAGUAGAUCAAUAGGUACCAUUUCUGCAGGAAGGAAACGCACUCCAUGCAGUCAUGCUGGCCACAUGACCUUGGAGGUGUCUACGGACAACGGCAGCUCUUUGACAUAGAAAUUGAGAUGAGCACUACCCCCCCCCCCAGAGUUGGACACAACUAGACUUAAUGUCAGGGAAAACCUUUUACCCUUACUUUGCACCUUUCUAGACUCCAGUGUAUUUCCAAGCAAUCAGAAAAAGAAGGAAGUUGGUAGCAUAAGCCUUCCUAACCUGAAAUUUUAAAAAUCUGAAGAAGUAGACUUAAGUCUCCAGAAGCCUAUGCUACCAACUUCUUUCUCUCAAAGAUGCUAGAGCUUUGAAUUCUGUCUUGUAAGGUUAAGGCGCUUUUAAAAUAUAUUUCUUCUUGUAUUUCUUCCCCCCUUAAAAAAGGUAGGGGCUAACCACUCAGUUGUAUACCUGGAAAGAAUAAUUUACUUACCCUUCAUGAACAAAUAUAUGCAAAAACUUACAAAGUAUGAAAUGGCAUUGAAGUGAAAUUUUCUCACUGAAUGUUGUGAAAGACCCAUCAACUUUUCUAUACAGUUAAUAAUUAAAGAGCUCAUUUGGAUGAGGAGAAGGAAAAAUUUUAAAGCAACUAAUAAAUUAUCUUCUCACCUAUUCUUGUCCAAAUUACAUCCACAAAAAGGAAGUUGAGCUCUGGGACUGUGUGUGUGUGUCAAUCCUAUCCUUGCAUAUCUAAUUUGAGUAGCCAAUGGGAUCUUGUAGCAUCUUCAAGACAUUGGUCGCAUGAAUAACGAGAUCAAUACUUUUGAUGAAGUACACUUAUCAAAAUCUUCUUUCACUCUUAAAGGUGCUACAAGAAUAAUAGAAUCAUAGAGUUGGAAAAGAUCACAUGGGCCAUCUAGUCCAACCCUCUGCCAUGCAGGAAAAGUACAAAGUACCCCUGACAGAUGGCCAUUUAAGCCUCUGUUUAUGAUCCCUUUGAAUAUUGAUUGAGACUCUUUCUACACUGUUCUUAUAUUCCAGGAUCUGAUCCUAGGUUAUCUGCUUUGAACUGGAUUAUAUGAACCUCUACAGCUUGGAUAAACAAAUAAUCUGGGAUCAGAUCCUGGGAUAUAGGGCAGUGUAGAAGGGCCCUGAAACUAGCAGUUAGUUGUUUCUUGAGUUGUUAUGUGCCUUGAAGUCCUUUCUAACAUUGCAACCCUAUUGGAAAGAUUUGUUCAGAGGCAGUUUGUGUUUGCCUUCCUCUGAGGCUGAGAAAGUGUAACUUGCCCAUGACUGCUUAAACCACUAUAACACUUAACUACAGCCCAGUUUAUUUUCCAUUAAGUUAUUUGCACACUUUGUACAGCAGGCUAAAAUAGAAUAAAUUAAUUUUUAUAUAAUAAGAGAAAAUAGUAGCAAUUACAUAAAUAAAAUUAUUCAUGCCAGCCAUAACCAUAUAAUUAACAUACAUUUUGAUAUACCAGGCUUCCACGGGUCUACUCCAGUUGGGCCUAACCUUUGGCUUUAGGCCACUAUAUUUAAUAUUUUCUCUUCAGAAAACACACCAGUUUUUAAUAUAUUUAAAUAAAUUGAUAAGCAUAUACAAUCAAAACUUAAUUGUCUUUUAUAUUUGUGCUACCUUUGAACAGAUACAUUAUAACUAAACCAUCAUUUUAGUCUUUCCAUUAUUUCCCCCAGCCCAUCUGAUCCAGAGGGUGAGUGUUCUGCUUCAUCUGCUUCAUCAAUGUUUUUUGUAUCUAGUGGCUAGUGAAAAUGAGUAAGAAAGGGUACAAUGUUAUUACUUUUCACUGGUACUGGUCAAACAUCUGCUAUUGGGAGUUUUUCUGGGGAACAGACAAUUAAAUAAGUGGGACUGGUUUGAAAUAAGAUACCAGUAGAACCACAUCCUGAUCUCAUGGCAAGUUCCCAAUGGUCAGCAUAUUCCAGGGAAGGCAGAUUUGAGAGUUCCUCCCCACACAGUGUAGCUGCCAGGAGCGCUGAGACAUUUAUGGCCAGAAAGUACUAUAAUUCAUGAACAGUGGUAAUACUAUUAACAGAAUCUGGGGGAAGAGUCUAGAGUGAUAAUUAAAUUGCUUUAACCUGCUUGUUUGAUUUUGGCCUGAGCUCUUUAUUUAAACAUUCCUUUCCAACAAGAGUGGGAGUGGAAAGGAACUCACAAAGAUUAUAUAAGGCUAUUUAAGGCAUUCUAGAUGAGGAUAAAACUAGAUGUGCUUGCAUAGAUAUCUUGGCUUAUAUAUAGCCAGACCCCCCACAUGCACUGAGAUUAGAGUCACAAGAUUCAAAACCACAAGUGGAAAACUACAGAUAAAUUGCUUUUUUUAAUCUGAGAGAAUAUCUCUCCAAGGAUUUCUAGUUCUUCCAGCAUUCCAUCAUCUCACACUGAAAGUUGACCAUAGUCACAUUGGAGACCCUAGAGAUUCCUAGAGAGGUGUUCUCUCUAGAAAUUGAGUAGUCCUCAAGCACGACUGGAGGAAGUUUACUGAGUCACACUGGAGAACCUUUAAAUUUUCAGAGAUUUUUUUUUCAUCAUAUCCAUGGAUAAUCAAAUACACUAAAGUCAAAACCACAAAUACGGAGGGACAACUGUAUUCCAUUUUAUUUUACUUUUUAAGCCUCAUAAGACAGCAAUGGCAAAAUUGCUUCCAAUGAUCCUGGCAAGAGAACCCAAUGACAAGGUCACCACAAGCCAUGAACUAGACAUCAGAGACAUAUUUUCUGAUAAUAUGGUUCAUUUGAAACAGUUUUGCUUUUUGUAGUUGUGCUAUUGUGAUAUGGCAAUUUUAUUCAGAUGUUUUGUCAAUCCACUUGCAAUUGCUCCCAGAGUACCAAAGGAACCAUAAUUGCUUUCCUGCAAAGAAUUGAUGGAACAAGAGCCUUAAAAUGUAAAAUAGUGAUGCAAUUAGAAUUCAAACUGCCAAACAAUUAGAACACAAUAUGUUGGACAUAAGUGUGAUUGAGAAAAUUGUUAUAAAUGAGAAAACCCAGGAAACAACAGAAUCAGACUAUGAAAAGUUUAUGAAUUAUCGAGAGCUGCAGAUUGCUGGUACUGGUAUUGUGCAAACUUUUCGCAAGGUCUCAAGAAGAUUAGGAUUUUAUGAUUUUAUUGAUUUAUAUCCCACCUUUCUCUCAAUAAUGAGACCCAAGGCCAAUAACAA